This 90-nucleotide transfer RNA is filed under the name Nitrosomonadales bacterium. Its description in RNAcentral is "tRNA-Ser". It matches the Rfam family "tRNA". From Rfam's summary of the family: Transfer RNA (tRNA) molecules are approximately 80 nucleotides in length. Their secondary structure includes four short double-helical elements and three loops (D, anti-codon, and T loops). RNAcentral also lists the same sequence under 1 other name. The record is from RNAcentral. Lineage: Bacteria; Pseudomonadati; Pseudomonadota; Betaproteobacteria; Nitrosomonadales.
GGAAGCGUGGCCGAGCGGUUUAAGGCACUAGUCUUGAAAACUAGCGAAGGGGGAACUCUUCCGUGAGUUCGAAUCUCACCGCUUCCGCCA